AGCCCCCUCUGUUCUCUAUCAUGUUCCAAACACAUGCACUAUAAUUUUUCUUCAUAGGAGAGUCAAGAGGAAAGAUGCUGGACUCACAUCUAUCAAGUGGAGGGAAACAUACAGCUGAGGAUGGUUAACGUGAACAUGAGAUGUGUUUGCGUCUGAAGACUGCAGCCCAAGACGCCCAUAGGAAGCCUCCAUCCUGGUGCCCGCUGGGCUAAGUUUGGAGCCAGGAGGGAAAUGGUUUGGCAGGAAGUCAACGAGCCAUGGGAGGAAGACGACAGAGUGGAGAAAGCAGACGUCUCACAGAGGGGCUGGGCCGAGGGGGUCUGAGUGGGCAGACUGGACAGGGCUCCAAAGACCCCCAGAAGUCCCUGCAAGUCCCUGGAGUCCAGGAAGCAACCACCUUUCCACACGGAAGCGGACACCGUGUCACCUGCCUGGCCAUUGACAGCAGUGUUAAUGGCACCCCUGAUGGCUGCUCAGGAGCGGGGACCUUGGUGGAGCUCCUAUGGUGACAUAGGACAGG
Molecule: long non-coding RNA, 520 nt
Filed under: Capra hircus (goat)
Lineage: Eukaryota; Metazoa; Chordata; Mammalia; Artiodactyla; Bovidae
Description: lncRNA (ENSCHIG00000001971.1)
Source: RNAcentral